CGGAGGGAAGCAGUUGGUAUCGGCGGUACGGUUCGUAGGGAGGGGGAGGAGAGGAGGAGGAGGAGGAGGAGAGGGAAGGCGACGAGGAUUCGUAUAAGGAAGAAAGCUGAACCGGCAAAACCAAUAGACAGGGUAGUUAAGAAGAGACAAAACCACUUCCUACAAACCACGUAGACAAGUACGGAACAACAGAAGUUUAGGACGGUCUACGUCUAGGUGAAGGGAACUCUUAUUUCUGGGUCUAGGCGGCUCGGGGAGUGACCACAAGUUGACACGGCGACCAGGUUAUUUCAAAACUAGAACGACACCCAAAGACGCUCAUAACGAUCCAAGAAACACGUAGAAUGGUGUACUACUUAAGAAAAUCACCAAGGACAGAGAGAACAAACUAAGAUAUCGUAUUUAAACUUUAAUAGGUACGUUAUGAUACACUUUAAAGAACAAGGCAAGUACGGGUUAAGAAGGAGAUAAAACAAAGGAUUGUCCACUAAACCCGUACGACUACUGGUUAAACCUAGGUACUUCUGUCAAACCACUAAUUAGGUGGAAAAAUAACCAAGAGAAAACAGCAAGUGCGGAUAAGCCGUUGUACAACCACUCUAUACGGGCUAACUAAACGGAACUUAGAUCAGGGGCAGGGGUUGGAGGAGAGGGAGAGUAUGGGGUGUGGUACCGGCAGGUUGGAAACGAGGACCUUCGACAUGGGGUUUGGUAAAGAAAGUCACAUUCCCCAACAAACAACUAAGAACUGUGUGAAGAUUUUUGUUUUAGUACGGGGCUGGACAACCUAUAGUAGUUGUACUUACCAUAUAAAGGAACGGAAAAACGUUGCUAUUAGAAGUUCCAUUCUCCCUAAUACAAACAAUGAGGAUGAAGUCACUAAGUUCAUAAACUCUCUAGUGUUUAAGACACAUCAGAAAUCUAAAUCAGAUCGUACUAAGUCACUAAAUGUUCAUAAGUCCUUCACACCGGUUUACACACUCGAUCUAAGACGCCUCAAUCAUAUAAUGGUGGGUCACAUCACGAAAACACCGAUAUACAAACACUUUUGUGUUUCUUUAACGAACAGAAUAGGUUAUAACGGAUUUUUUGGUGCUUGGUGGUCUUCUAUAACAGUAUCAUAAAAUCGAUAGAAAAAAAAAAGUAAAUUAGUACCUGCGUAAUCAGACAAUAGAUGAGCUUACUGCGAGGAGAUUGUGGUCUAAAAUCAGUUGAGAUGACGUACGUCCUAGAACUGGAAUGUUCUGGACGUCGGGGUUCCUUGGGAGGUUCUGGGGUCAAACUUUGUAGAUGUUUCCUCCAAAAUUCCUUUCGGCUAAAAUCCCAAUCUCUGCGGGAACGAAGUUUCUGGACUUUAUGCCUUCGAAGACUUCACGUGUAGAUGUGGAACGGAAGUUCAAAGGAGACAAACUACCACCAUUAAUGUGCCGGUUGGUUCUAUACGACAAAGACUGACGGAAAUAAUGGAGGGAACAAACUUACUUCGGAACUUUCCAUAGAAGAAGUUAGGAAAGAGUACCUCAUAGCUCAUAAAGGAACGUCAUCGACUACACGUGUGAGGUACGUGAAAAAAAAUCUUUUUUGGUAAGGUAUACGAAAGUCGCAGUAAAACAUCACACGUUUCGACAUCAUUUUAUGACUAUAAAAGAACGUCGGCCGUCUUAUAAACUACUCGUUUGAUACAUGUAUUUACUACGUAAUGAACAAUAAGAAUGUACAAUCAACACUUAGCGUAGUAGUUAUCGAAUCCAUUCUAGUGAUACUACAGUAGGAAGGUGCCAACUUGACAAUAAUGAAUAUUUAAAUCAAACAUGUAAAACAAUCUGAGAACCAACUUAAAAAACCGGGACAAAAUGAUUAUUAGUCGUGGUGCUCGUUUAGAACUUCAGGUCCGUCUCCCGACUCGUACGAACAAACGAGUACAUCGUUUAAUUGGUUACACAAGGACCCGGUAGAAAGUCUAUUACUAUAAAUUUACAAUACCGACGAGACAAAUACAACUGUAAAAACCCCAGGCAGCUACGUACGACUCUUUGAUAAA
Molecule: ribosomal RNA, 2041 nt
Filed under: Triticum aestivum (bread wheat)
Lineage: Eukaryota; Viridiplantae; Streptophyta; Magnoliopsida; Poales; Poaceae
Description: partial small subunit ribosomal RNA
Source: RNAcentral